This 731-nucleotide long non-coding RNA is filed under the name Vigna radiata. RNAcentral describes it as "long non-coding RNA (VRAD_LNC014278)". The record is from RNAcentral. Lineage: Eukaryota; Viridiplantae; Streptophyta; Magnoliopsida; Fabales; Fabaceae.
UCAAAGUGACACAUUAGAUAUUAAAUUCAUUCAUUAUUUAUUUUUCAUUGCAUUAGGAUAAUAUUUAAUGGGAUUUGCUAACUUGCGUAUGCCUGUUUUUCAGUUGGUACAUUUUAGCAAUGUGUACCGGGUUUCAGUAGACAAAAAUAUCCUUAUAUCAUGAAUUCUGAAUUUUAAGGUUAAGGAUAUUUUAAUAAUUUUCAUUCUCAAAAUUAAAAAAAUAAAAAAAACCCCUAAACUCUUACCCACCUCUCUCAUCCUCUCAACCUUUUCUCUUUCAUCUCUUUCACUCCAACAUUUUGUCUGUUAUCCCUACUCUAGUCUCAAUUGAAAAAAAUCAGAAACACUUGCCUUAUUUUAAUCAUUUUCAUUCUCAAAACUAAAAAAAAGAAACCCCAAACCCUUACUCACCUCCUUCAUUCCUCUCAACCUUUUCUCCUUCAUCUCUCUCACUUAAACAUUUUCUCUGUCAUCUUUGCACUAGCCACAACUAAAAAAACACUCACUAUUAAAUAAAAUGGUUAGAGAAAAAAAUACUUACAUAAAUAAAAAAAUUAAAGCACUUAAUUUUUUAUUUAUAUAAUUUUAAAUAAAAUUUCAAGAUUUAGAAUUUUUAUGGUUUGAUUUUAUCGUUAAGAAUUUUAUUGUAUUUUGAUUUGUUUUUUCUUUAGUAAAGGAAAACAAGUUAAUGAAUUUCUACAAAAAAAAAUUAAAUGGUCACAGAGCAAUGU